RNAcentral lists this ribosomal RNA (425 nucleotides) under uncultured bacterium. Its description in RNAcentral is "partial 16S ribosomal RNA". It matches the Rfam family "Bacterial small subunit ribosomal RNA", at positions 354 to 796 of the family's 1533-position model. The record is from RNAcentral.
GUGGGGAAUAUUGGACAAUGGGCGCAAGCCUGAUCCAGCAAUGCCGCGUGGGUGAAGAAGGCCUUCGGGUUGUAAAGCUCUUUCAGUGGGGACGAUAAUGACGGUACCCACAGAAGAAGCCCCGGCUAACUUCGUGCCAGCAGCCGCGGUAAUACGAAGGGGGCUAGCGUUGUUCGGAUUUACUGGGCGUAAAGCGCACGUAGGCGGAUCGUUAAGUCGGGGGUGAAAUCCUGGAGCUCAACUCCAGAACUGCCUUCGAUACUGGCGAUCUUGAGUCCGGAAGAGGUGAGUGGAACUCCUAGUGUAGAGGUGGAAUUCGUAGAUAUUAGGAAGAACACCAGUGGCGAAGGCGGCUCACUGGUCCGAUACUGACGCUGAGGUGCGAAAGCGUGGGGAGCAAACAGGAUUAGAAACCCUGGUAGUCC